Molecule: ribosomal RNA, 484 nt
Filed under: uncultured bacterium
Lineage: Bacteria
Description: partial 16S ribosomal RNA
Rfam family: Bacterial small subunit ribosomal RNA
Source: RNAcentral
AUUGAACGCUGGCGGCAGGCCUAACACAUGCAAGUCGAGCGGAUGAAGGGAGCUUGCUCCUGGAUUCAGCGGCGGACGGGUGAGUAAUGCCUAGGAAUCUGCCUGGUAGUGGGGGAUAACGUCCGGAAACGGGCGCUAAUACCGCAUACGUCCUGAGGGAGAAAGUGGGGGAUCUUCGGACCUCACGCUACCAGAUGAGCCUAGGUCGGAUUAGCUAGUUGGUGGGGUAAAGGCCUACCAAGGCGACGAUCCGUAACUGGUCUGAGAGGAUGAUCAGUCACACUGGAACUGAGACACGGUCCAGACUCCUACGGGAGGCAGCAGUGGGGAAUAUUGGACAAUGGGCGAAAGCCUGAUCCAGCCAUGCCGCGUGUGUGAAGAAGGUCUUCGGAUUGUAGAGCACUUUAAGUUGGGAGGAAGGGCAGUAAGUUAAUACCUUGCUGUUUUGACGUUACCAACAGAAUAAGCACCGGCUAACUUCGUG